This 468-nucleotide ribosomal RNA is filed under the name uncultured bacterium. RNAcentral describes it as "partial 16S ribosomal RNA". It matches the Rfam family "Bacterial small subunit ribosomal RNA", at positions 28 to 507 of the family's 1533-position model. The record is from RNAcentral.
GACGAACGCUGGCGGCGUGCUUAACACAUGCAAGUCGAACGGAAAGGCCCUGCUUUUGUGGGGUGCUCGAGUGGCGAACGGGUGAGUAACACGUGAGUAACCUGCCCUUGACUUUGGUAUAACUUCAGGAAACUGGGGCUUAUACUGGAUAGGAGCUCCUGCUGCAUGGUGGGGUUUGGAAAGUUUCGGGGGUUGGGGAUGGACUCGCGGCUUAUCAGCUUGUUGGUGGGGUAGUGGCUUACCAAGGCUUUGACGGGUAGCCGGCCUGAGGGGGUGACCGGCAACAUUGGGACUGAGAUACGGCCCAGACUCCGACGGGAGGCAGAAGUGGGGAAUAUGGAAAAAUGGGCGGAAGCCGGAUGCAGAAAGGCGGCGUGCGGGAUGACGGCCUUCGGGUGGUAAACCGCUUUCGCCUGGGACGAAGCGUGAGUGACGGUAAUGGGUAAAGAAGCACCGGCUAACUACGUG